Vigna radiata var. radiata (mung bean) is the source of this 205-nucleotide non-coding RNA. NCBI's taxonomy places the organism in Eukaryota, Viridiplantae, Streptophyta, Magnoliopsida, Fabales, Fabaceae. The record is from Rfam.
AAGAGAGUGAAGGAGCUUCCUUCAGCCCACGUAUGGGUAUGAGGGACUAAAGGGGAUCUCAAGUAUCUGCUGACUCAUUCAUACACACACAGUAGGGGUUUAUAUAAAGCCAUUUUCUACUGUAAUUGUGUGAAUGAAGCAGGAGAUAUUUUGCAUCCCUCUUACUCUGUGCUUGGACUGAAGGGGAGCUCCUUCUUUCUGUUGU